Long non-coding RNA from Dipodomys spectabilis (banner-tailed kangaroo rat), 103 nucleotides. RefSeq lists it as uncharacterized. The transcript has 3 exons. Lineage: Eukaryota; Metazoa; Chordata; Mammalia; Rodentia; Heteromyidae. The record is from RefSeq and is a predicted model, not a curated record.
CUUCUGGAUUAGGGAUAAAAAGGGAGCAGCCUGCCGGCUCUCAGAGAUUGUUGCAAAUAUUUUUGGCUGAUGGCACACCUUUCUACAGAAGUAACUUUAGCUU